AUUGAACGCUGGCGGCAGGCCUAACACAUGCAAGUCGAACGGUAACAGGAAGAAGCUUGCUUCUUUGCUGACGAGUGGCGGACGGGUGAGUAAUGUCUGGGAAACUGCCUGAUGGAGGGGGAUAACUACUGGAAACGGUAGCUAAUACCGCAUAACGUCGCAAGACCAAAGAGGGGGACCUUCGGGCCUCUUGCCAUCGGAUGUGCCCAGAUGGGAUUAGCUAGUAGGUGGGGUAACGGCUCACCUAGGCGACGAUCCCUAGCUGGUCUGAGAGGAUGACCAGCCACACUGGAACUGAGACACGGUCCAGACUCCUACGGGAGGCAGCAGUGGGGAAUAUUGCACAAUGGGCGCAAGCCUGAUGCAGCCAUGCCGCGUGUAUGAAGAAGGCCUUCGGGUUGUAAAGUACUUUCAGCGGGGAGGAAGGGAGUAAAGUUAAGACCUUUGCUCAUUGACGUGACCCGCAGAAGAAGCACCGGCGAACUCCGU
This 489-nucleotide ribosomal RNA is filed under the name uncultured bacterium. RNAcentral's name for it is "partial 16S ribosomal RNA". It matches the Rfam family "Bacterial small subunit ribosomal RNA", at positions 30 to 506 of the family's 1533-position model. The record is from RNAcentral.